GACCGUGCUCCUGAAAUAGCAUUUCACAGACUCUGCCUAAAGCACCAAACUAAGAAAUUUGUGGUACCAUACUGAGUUUACUCAUUCAGAAUAAUGGGAGAACAGGAAAGAAAUAUCCCCGAAGCUGUCCAAGAACCUGACGUUGAUCAGGAAGGACAAAGAAUGGCAAUCAGAGAUGAACAGGGUGCAGCAGCCAGAAAUCCACCUGAGCAGGGAGGAGUGAGAGUCAAUCCAACACGACCAGCACAAAAAACUCCCGAAGUAAGAGCACAUGAGACAUACGAGAAGGAUAGAAAGGCAGAAAACCAGGAUUUGCGCAGGGAAAAUCUGAAUGUUCUCUUUAAAAAUUCUGAAAGAACAACAUUGCAGUUUGAUACUAAUGAUCGAGACGAAUGGUUGAGAAUGAUGCCAGAAUUCCUUGAACUUGAUGGAUAUAACAUGACACAGAGCACAAAAAAUUGUACCAUAUUGAAAAACGGAAGGAUUACAGUUGUGUCGUAUGAUUCUGGACAAUUUCUAAUAUAUGGCAAGGAUCAGAAUACAAAUGAUUUUGAAAGGUGGUUUGAAGCAAACAAAAAUAGAAUCACAGACCUACACAAUGUCAUGGAAAGGAUGAAUUUACGGGACCAUGAUUAACAUUGUCAGCCAGAAAGCAAGAAAGAGCAUAGGCUUUCUGACUGCCGUUGAGCUGUUGUGGAAUUCUCUGAAUUGUGUAGUUUUUGGAGGAAUUACAGCUCAACUUUGUACUCACUGGUGGGGGUUGAGUUCAUUUAAUACAUGAAAGUCUUUUAUAGCUUUUCUGUAACGUGACACUGUACUAACACUAAAUUAAUUAUUUGAUAAACAUACAUAAAGGCUAGAUUUUAACGCAAGAACUGGCAUGCACGAUUAUUCAAAUAAGCUCCUUAAUACAUUCAACACUUUCAGUUUUCAACUUCAUGCUUUACAUUUUUUUAUUUAUAAAUGCUUGUUUUCAGUGACAGUAAAUGCUUGAAAAAACAAAUAUGAGCAUUGGCAGAUUUUAAAAUAUGAAAGCCCUUUCUCAGCACUUUUAAAAAGCCUUUAAAUCUGAACAUGUGAAUGUGAUUCAUCAGGACUAAGUGAGGUGAAUGAUCAUAUCUAGGACAUAUUUUCUAGGACAUAUUUUCUGUUCUUAGAUUAUAAGAUUGUUUGAUUUUGAUUUUAUUAUGAGCCAUCCAUUGGGGGGUGGGGGUUCAUUUUUUUUUCUGAAUUGAUAAGAUGGUAUUGUGUGAAUUUGUUUAGAAUUGUUGGUUUGGGUUACUUUUUUGGGAGAGGGAGGGACAUUCUUGUAAGGAUACAAAUUAUAGAUUAAAGUUUUCUCUUUUUGGUGGA
This is a non-coding RNA of Neolamprologus brichardi, 1353 nucleotides long. Lineage: Eukaryota; Metazoa; Chordata; Actinopteri; Cichliformes; Cichlidae. The record is from RefSeq and is a predicted model, not a curated record.